This 495-nucleotide ribosomal RNA is filed under the name uncultured bacterium. RNAcentral describes it as "partial 16S ribosomal RNA". It matches the Rfam family "Bacterial small subunit ribosomal RNA", at positions 28 to 523 of the family's 1533-position model. The record is from RNAcentral.
GAUGAACGCUGGCGGCGUGCUUAACACAUGCAAGUCGAACGAAGCACCUUGAUUUGAUUCUUCGGAUGAAGAUCUUGGUGACUGAGUGGCGGACGGGUGAGUAACGCGUGGGUAACCUGCCUCAUACAGGGGGAUAACAGUUAGAAAUGACUGCUAAUACCGCAUAAGACCACAGCACCGCAUGGUGCAGGGGUAAAAACUCCGGUGGUAUGAGAUGGACCCGCGUCUGAUUAGGUAGUUGGUGGGGUAACGGCCUACCAAGCCGACGAUCAGUAGCCGACCUGAGAGGGUGACCGGCCACAUUGGGACUGAGACACGGCCCAAACUCCUACGGGAGGCAGCAGUGGGGAAUAUUGCACAAUGGGGGAAACCCUGAUGCAGCGACGCCGCGUGAGCGAUGAAGUAUUUCGGUAUGUAAAGCUCUAUCAGCAGGGAAGAAAAUGACGGUACCUGACUAAGAAGCACCGGCUAAAUACGUGCCAGCCGCCGCGGUAA